Molecule: ribosomal RNA, 305 nt
Filed under: uncultured bacterium
Lineage: Bacteria
Description: bacterial SSU rRNA
Rfam family: Bacterial small subunit ribosomal RNA
Source: RNAcentral
AUCCCUACGGGGGGCAGCAGUGGGGAAUAUUGGGCAAUGGGCGCAAGCCUGACCCAGCAACGCCGCGUGAAGGAAGAAGGCUUUCGGGUUGUAAACUUCUUUUAAGAGGGACGAAGGAAGUGACGGUACCUCUUGAGUAAGCCACGGCUAACUACGUGCCAGCAGCCGCGGUAAUACGUAGGUGGCAAGCGUUGUCCGGAUUUACUGGGUGUAAAGGGCGUGCAGCCGGGAAGACAAGUCAGAUGUGAAAUCCCGCGGCUCAACCGCGGAACUGCAUUUGAAACUGUUUUUCUUGAGUACCGGAG